RNAcentral lists this ribosomal RNA (497 nucleotides) under uncultured bacterium. RNAcentral's name for it is "partial 16S ribosomal RNA". It matches the Rfam family "Bacterial small subunit ribosomal RNA", at positions 28 to 507 of the family's 1533-position model. The record is from RNAcentral.
GAUGAACGCUGGCGGCGUGCCUAAUACAUGCAAGUCGAGCGAACAGACGAGGAGCUUGCUCCUCUGACGUUAGCGGCGGACGGGUGAGUAACACGUGGAUAACCUACCUAUAAGACUGGGAUAACUUCGGGAAACCGGAGCUAAUACCGGAUAAUAUAUUGAACCGCAUGGUUCAAUAGUGAAAGACGGUUUUGCUGUCACUUAUAGAUGGAUCCGCGCCGCAUUAGCUAGUUGGUAAGGUAACGGCUUACCAAGGCAACGAUGCGUAGCCGACCUGAGAGGGGGGUAGGCCACACUGGAGCGGAGACAGGGUCCAGACUACUACGGGAGGCAGCAGUAGGGAAUCUUCCGCAAUGGGGGAAAGCCUGACGGAGCAACGCCGAGUGAGUGAUGAAGGUCUUCGGAUCGUAAAACUCUGUUAUUAGGGAAGAACAAAUGUGUAAGUAACUAUGCACGUCUUGACGGUACCUAAUCAGAAAGCCACGGCUAACUACGUG